Molecule: ribosomal RNA, 301 nt
Filed under: uncultured bacterium
Lineage: Bacteria
Description: partial 16S ribosomal RNA
Rfam family: Bacterial small subunit ribosomal RNA
Source: RNAcentral
CAGCCGCCGCGGGAAUACGAAGGGUGCAAGCGUUAAUCGGAAUUACUGGGCGUAAAGCGUGCGUAGGCGGUGGCUAAGUCUGCUGUGAAAUCCCCGGGCUCAACCUGGGAAUGGCAGUGGAUACUGGCUCGCUAGAGUGUGUCAGAGGAUGGUGGAAUUCCCGGUGUAGCGGUGAAAUGCGUAGAGAUCGGGAGGAACAUCAGUGGCGAAGGCGGCCAUCUGGGACAACACUGACGCUGAGGCACGAAAGCGUGGGGAGCAAACAGGAUUAGAUACCCCAGUAGUCCCUGUCUCUUAUACA